AACGAACGCUGGCGGCAGGCUUAACACAUGCAAGUCGAACGCGUGUAGCAAUACACGAGUGGCGCACGGGUGAGUAACGCGUGGAUAUCUGCCUUUUGGUUCGGAAUAACUCCGGGAAACUGGAGCUAAUACCGGAUGGUUCCUACGGGAUAAAGAUUUAUCGCCAAAAAGAUGAGUCCGCGUACGAUUAGCUAGUUGGUGAGGUAAUGGCUCACCAAGGCGACGAUCGUUAGCUGGUCUGAGAGGACGAUCAGCCACACUGGGACUGAGAUACGGCCCAGACUCCUACGGGAGGCAGCAGUGGGGAAUAUUGGACAAUGGGGGCAACCCUGAUCCAGUGAUGCCGCGUGUGUGAAGAAGGCCUGAGGGUUGUAAAGCACUUUAGUUGGGGAGGAAGAAUCCAGAGAUGAAUAAGCUAUGGAAAUGACGUUACCCAAAGAAUAAGCAACCGGCUAAACUCUGUGCCAGCAGCCGCGGUAAU
This 481-nucleotide ribosomal RNA is filed under the name uncultured bacterium. Its description in RNAcentral is "bacterial SSU rRNA". It matches the Rfam family "Bacterial small subunit ribosomal RNA", at positions 29 to 524 of the family's 1533-position model. The record is from RNAcentral.